AGCUCCAAUAGCGUAUAUUAAAGUUGUUGCGGUUAAAAAGCUCGUAGUUGGAUUUCUGUUGAGAACGGCCGGUCCGCACUAUGUGCGUGUAUCUGGUUCGGUCUUGGCAUCCUCUUGGAGAACGUAACUGCGCUUGAUUGCGUGGUGCGGUAUUCAAGACUUUUACUUUGAGGAAAUUAGAGUGUUCACGGCAGGCAAGCGCCUUGAAUAUAUUAGCAUGGAAUAAUAAUAUAGGAUCUCGGUUCUAUUUUGUUGGUUUCUAGAAUCAGGAUAAUGAUUAAUAGGGAUAAUUGGGGGCAUUUGUAUUAACGCGUCAGAGGUGGAAUUCUUGGAUUGCGUUACGACAAACUACUGCGAAAGCAUUUGCCAAGGAUGUUU
This 378-nucleotide ribosomal RNA is filed under the name uncultured eukaryote. Its description in RNAcentral is "SSU rRNA". It matches the Rfam family "Eukaryotic small subunit ribosomal RNA", at positions 587 to 969 of the family's 1831-position model. The record is from RNAcentral.